This 473-nucleotide ribosomal RNA is filed under the name uncultured Verrucomicrobiota bacterium. RNAcentral's name for it is "bacterial SSU rRNA". It matches the Rfam family "Bacterial small subunit ribosomal RNA", at positions 355 to 840 of the family's 1533-position model. The record is from RNAcentral. Lineage: Bacteria; Pseudomonadati; Verrucomicrobiota.
UCGAGAAUUUUUCACAAUGGGGGCAACCCUGAUGGAGCGACGCCGCGUGGAGGAUGAAGGCCUUCGGGUUGUAAACUCCUGUCAUGCGGGAACAAGCAAGUGAUAGUACCGCAAGAGGAAGAGACGGCUAACUCUGUGCCAGCAGCCGCGGUAAUACAGAGGUCUCAAGCGUUGUUCGGAUUCAUUGGGCGUAAAGGGUGCGUAGGUGGUGACGCAAGUCUGGUGUGAAAUCUCGGAGCUCAACUCCGAAAUUGCACCGGAUACUGCGUGACUCGAGGACUGUAGAGGAGAUCGGAAUUCACGGUGUAGCAGUGAAAUGCGUAGAUAUCGUGAGGAAGACCAGUUGCGAAGGCGGAUCUCUGGGCAGUUCCUGACACUGAGGCACGAAGGCCAGGGGAGCAAACGGGAUUAGAUACCCCGGUAGUCCUGGCAGUAAACGGUGCACGUUUGGUGUGGGCGGGUUCAGACCCCGU